This 982-nucleotide long non-coding RNA is filed under the name Helianthus annuus (common sunflower). RNAcentral's name for it is "sRNA HanXRQr2_Chr01g0025131". The record is from RNAcentral. Lineage: Eukaryota; Viridiplantae; Streptophyta; Magnoliopsida; Asterales; Asteraceae.
UAGUAAUGAAAUCUUUUGAAUUCAUGUGUGUAUACCUAUUAAAACAAUUUUUUUUUUGUUGAAGAAAGCAAAGAAAUAUUUAACACCGGGGGUAAUACGUUUUCUUACAACAAAGCAUAGGGGGUAAUAAGUAAGAAUAAUAUAGUCAUUUAACACCGGGGGGUAAUACAUUUUCUUACAACAAAGCAUAGGGGGUAAUAAGAAAGGAUAAUAUAGUCAUUUAACAUCCCAGUUAACAGAGCUGUUAAGUUUUUUAACAUCGGGGGGUAAUAUUGUAGCGUUUUUCAAUAGUUGAGAGGUAAGACAACAAGAUUUUCAUAUUAGGAGGUAAGAGUGUCAGUCACAUAUAACUCCAGAGGGUAAAAUUACAGUUUACUCUUAAUAUAAUCACCAUUAUGUAAUAAUUGCAUAGAUCCUAAAGUGUACAUUAUCACGAAAUUUUUAUGACCCGAGUUGGUCUAGCGAUUGUUGGGAUUGAACCCUAACAGAGGAACAGAUAAUGUAAAGCCAAAACCGGAUCCCAUCAGUGGACACUUAAUAAGCAGCAGUUUACUCUAAUCUCUCCCCUUGACAGUGGUUAUCUAACAGCUGAUGGAUGUUAAGUGCUGCUCAACUACAACGACUGAUAAACCAAACUCUGAUGAUUAUCUAACAACUGCUGAAGACAAACUCUGUUGCUCUAUCUACUGUUGUUUUGUAUAGAACAGUAUUUAUAGUUUGUUAGGUCGUUAGAUGUCACUAUCAUGGUGACGUCAGCUGAAGCAUAUCAGUAGUUUGGUUUGCCUAUAAGUAUGACAGUACUCUGUACUGUUACACUUGAUCGUUUUGAGUGAGUUUUUCUCCUCAAUUCAUUCUUUCAUCUUGUGCAACCAACUCUGGUGUAUCAGGCUGAGGGGGAGUUUAGAUUGUAAGCCUGCACUGUAACCUUUUGCUUUUAUGUAAAUCUUUUGACUCAAUGAAAAGCAAUUGUUUAUCAAUCUAC